GAAUGAAGAACGCAGCAAAAUGCGAUACUUGGUGUGAAUUGCAGAAUCCCGUGAACCAUCGAGUUUUUGAACGCAAGUUGCGCCCGAAGCCUUUUGGCCGAGGGCACGUCUGCCUGGGCGUCACGCAUCGCGUCGCCCCCCACAAUUCUCCGUAAAGGGAACAUGUGUUUUGGGGGCGGAUAUUGGUCUCCCGUGCUCAUGGCGUGGUUGGCCGAAAUAGGAGUCCUUUCGAUGGACGCACGAACUAGUGGUGGUCGUAAAAACCCUCGUCUUUUGUUUCGUGCUGUUGCUCGCAAGGUAAACUCUUUAAAAACCCCAAUGUGUCGUCUCUUGACGACGCUUCGACCGCGACCCCAGGUCAGGCGGGACUACCCGCUGAGUUUAAGCAUAUCAAUAAGCGGAGGA
RNAcentral lists this unclassified non-coding RNA (405 nucleotides) under soil metagenome. Its description in RNAcentral is "partial contains 5.8S ribosomal RNA, internal transcribed spacer 2, and large subunit ribosomal RNA". The stretch from base 3 to 123 matches the Rfam family "5.8S ribosomal RNA", at positions 36 to 154 of the family's 154-position model. The record is from RNAcentral.